Molecule: long non-coding RNA, 218 nt
Organism: Homo sapiens (human)
Lineage: Eukaryota; Metazoa; Chordata; Mammalia; Primates; Hominidae
Exons: 3
Source: RefSeq, a predicted model, not a curated record
GCUUUCAUAGUACUUUUCUGACCACGGUUUUCUGGAGUUUUUUCGUAUGGAGUUUGUAAGCUUCCUGACAUGGAUUAUAACUGUACUUGAUGGAGCACAGUUAUAAUAGCUGCUUUAGAGUCCUUGAUAAUUCCCACAUCUGAGUCAUCUCAAGUUAUUUUUGGCAGAUUUUGAUGGAUGUACAUUGAUGGAUAGCCACGUGGAUCCAGAAAAUAAAG